Molecule: ribosomal RNA, 781 nt
Filed under: Staphylococcus aureus
Lineage: Bacteria; Bacillati; Bacillota; Bacilli; Caryophanales; Staphylococcaceae
Description: partial 23S ribosomal RNA
Rfam family: Bacterial large subunit ribosomal RNA
Source: RNAcentral
UCGAUUCCCUUAGUAGCGGCGAGCGAAACGGGAAGAGCCCAAACCAACAAGCUUGCUUGUUGGGGUUGUAGGACACUCUAUACGGAGUUACAAAGGACGACAUUAGACGAAUCAUCUGGAAAGAUGAAUCAAAGAAGGUAAUAAUCCUGUAGUCGAAAAUGUUGUCUCUCUUGAGUGGAUCCUGAGUACGACGGAGCACGUGAAAUUCCGUCGGAAUCUGGGAGGACCAUCUCCUAAGGCUAAAUACUCUCUAGUGACCGAUAGUGAACCAGUACCGUGAGGGAAAGGUGAAAAGCACCCCGGAAGGGGAGUGAAAUAGAACCUGAAACCGUGUGCUUACAAGUAGUCAGAGCCCGUUAAUGGGUGAUGGCGUGCCUUUUGUAGAAUGAACCGGCGAGUUACGAUUUGAUGCAAGGUUAAGCAGUAAAUGUGGAGCCGUAGCGAAAGCGAGUCUGAAUAGGGCGUUUAGUAUUUGGUCGUAGACCCGAAACCAGGUGAUCUACCCUUGGUCAGGUUGAAGUUCAGGUAACACUGAAUGGAGGACCGAACCGACUUACGUUGAAAAGUGAGCGGAUGAACUGAGGGUAGCGGAGAAAUUCCAAUCGAACCUGGAGAUAGCUGGUUCUCUCCGAAAUAGCUUUAGGGCUAGCCUCAAGUGAUGAUUAUUGGAGGUAGAGCACUGUUUGGACGAGGGGCCCCUCUCGGGUUACCGAAUUCAGACAAACUCCGAAUGCCAAUUAAUUUAACUUGGGAGUCAGAACAUGGGUGAUAAGGUCCGUGU